GCUAGCCACUGCUUCCUCCCAGGGAUCUCGUGCCUCUGAUAGUGGAAGUGCAAAUCUCAAUUAUCAAUAAUUCAGCAUAAGCAUGCAUAAAUUCUCAUCCAUGGAUCAACAUCCAUAUCAGCCAUCCGGCUCACGGUUCAGUCCAGAACCAGCCAAUAUUCAUAUUAUACACAGCCUUUCCGGCUCAUGGUUAAAUCCAUAACCAGCCGUUUCAUUAGCAAUUACAGCCUUUCGGCCCAUGGCUUAACAAGCACUUCCACCACCAUCCUCCGCAUCUCACAUAAUCAUCUUGAUCCUCAUUGAUCAUUCAUUUUUCCCUUGCUUCACUCGCAAGUUACCUCAUUCACUAGCCCCUUUUUAAUAGCUAGGCAUGUCAUAAUGAUUUAAGACAUAAAUGGUGAGAUCGGAGGCUUAGAAGUAUGAGAUUUGGCUUUUAAAACUCAAAAAUCAACUUUGGGAUGAAAACAGGGCCACGCGUACGCGCACUCCACGCGCACGCGUGGAUGGCCUCAAAAACUCAUCGACGCGCAAGCGUCAUGCACGCUAACGCGUGGAUUAAAGAUUUGCCAAUCGACGCGCACGCGCCAACCACGCGUACGCGCGGGUGUUCUCGUGCCCCAGGCACAACACUGGCACAGUUCUGGCAUAACUCUCUGGAAAAUGGCUGGGCAUUGGGUGCAGCACAAUCGGCGCGCCCGCGCACAUCACGCGCACGCGUGGAUGGCGCUUUCUGGAAGAUCGGCGCGUACGCGCCAGGUACGCCCACGCGCAAGGGGUCAUUCUGCUAAAAAUUUUCUAAGUUAAAAGCUGCAGAAUUCACAGAUUUAAACCCCAAUCUUCCAACGGACAUAACUUCCUCAUUUUAAAUCGUCUUUCACCCGUUCUUUGAACGGCAUGGACAUCCCGGAUCCAAUUUCAUUUCUAAACAGAUUUGGUACAAAACGGAGAUCCGUAGUCCAAGUUAUGUCCCGCCAAAGUGUGCCCAAAAACCAUAUUUUCAUACAAAACCACAAAGUGCCAAUUUCAAAACAAGCCAUUUCCAACUCUUUUCAAAACCAAUCAAAACAUGCCAAGUUCAUCCCGUUUCUUUGAAAUCAAUCAAAAUAUAUCAAAUUCAACAUCAAGCCUCCUCAACUCACACAUUGACACAUUACCACAAAUUACCAAAAUCACUAUCUCAUCAUUUUACCCUACUUCACCCAAGUGGCUCAAACUCAAACACAUUGACAUAUCAUAUACUAUUCCUCAUGCCAAUUCUCAACAACACCAAUUCCAAUAAAUUAUUAUUGUACACAAUCAACAUCAUACUCACCAUCAACAUGGUUCAACCCACAAUUCAACCAUAACCAGUCAUCAAGUAUAUAUAUCACAACAUGCAUAUUUCUCAUACAUCAUACCACUAAGGCAUUAAUAAUCAUCAUCACAUAUAUGACCACAUCAUAUAUCUCAAUCAUUCAACAACAUCAACAAUUCAAUGCCUAUCUUAGGGCCUCUAGCCUAAGUAUUUCCUACCACAUUACAUAUUAGAUACGGGAAACCGAAACCAUACCUUAGCCGAUUUUCCCAAGCUCCCCCGGAGCACUUCCAAACCACUUAUCCACAAGCUCUCAAGGCCUCAACACCUCCAAGAACAGAUUUUUCACCACCAAACCCUUUCCAAGCUUUUCAAAGUCACCAAUCAAGCUCCAAUACCCACACAUACACAACCUAAGCCACAACCAUCAUACUCAUACACAACAUCUCAAAACCCAAACAUCAUAGAACAACAAAAUCACACUAGGGUUGAGAAUCUUACCACACCCAAGGUCCAAGGAGACAAGAUUAACCUUCUCCUUCAAGAGAGUUGGGUCCUAUAACAUCAAAGAACCCAAAAUCUCAACAUUUUACCCAUGAAACUCGAAAAUAAGGGCUGGAAUUUCGAACAGAAACACGUGGCUUACCUCAAGAUUAGUUGUAUGGGUUUUGUAGAGCUCUCCGCGGUGAACGCGUGGCCGCAAACGGAGCGGCAAUCGGAGCUCUAGAUCAAAAGUUAUGGUGGUUUGAAGAUCAAGUGAGAGAUAGAGGUUUGAGAGAGUGUUCUUCCCCCAUUUCCUCUCUUUUUCAGCGUGUUUGGUGUUGUGUGAGGAGAGAGAGAGUGCUGAAAACUAGGGUUUUGGUUUAGUUAUGUUGGGCCAAGGGCCCACUUUGGGUCCGGUUGGACCGGUUUGGCCCGUUCGGUCCAAUCUUGGUCCGAUUUCCAUAAAAUUGGUACCGAAAUUCUCGUCUCAAUUUCCUCUAUCAUAUUAAGCCAUAAAAAUAUCAUUUUAGGCUUUCUAGAAUAAAUUCUCAUUUAUGGGUUAAUUAGCCGUUAA
RNAcentral lists this long non-coding RNA (2351 nucleotides) under Arachis ipaensis. RNAcentral's name for it is "long non-coding RNA (AIPA_LNC001732)". The record is from RNAcentral. Lineage: Eukaryota; Viridiplantae; Streptophyta; Magnoliopsida; Fabales; Fabaceae.